GACGAGGGGUGCAAACGUUAUUCGGAAUGAUUGGGCGUAAAGGGUGCGUAGGCGGCUUAUUAAGUCAACCGUUAAAUUUCUCAGCCUAACUGGGAGUAUGCGGUAGAAACUGGUAAGCUUGAGAGUGGGAGAGAGAAGUGGAAUUCUCGGAGUAGCGGUAAAAUGCGUAGAUCUCGAGAGGAACACCGAUGGCGAAGGCAGCUUCUUAGCCCAUUUCUGACGCUGAGGCACGAAAGCGUGGGGAGCAAACAGG
RNAcentral lists this ribosomal RNA (253 nucleotides) under uncultured bacterium. Its description in RNAcentral is "partial 16S ribosomal RNA". It matches the Rfam family "Bacterial small subunit ribosomal RNA", at positions 524 to 776 of the family's 1533-position model. The record is from RNAcentral.